CUUCUCUUCGAUCAUAUUCAGUUGGUCGUAACGACUCUGAAUCCAUUCAGUAUCAUUCAACUUGGGGUUUGAGGGUGCUAUUUCUUUUAUUUUUUCUUUUGAUUUUUUUUUAUUUUGAUUUUGAUUUUGCUUUUUGCUUUUUGCUUUUUGCUUUUUGCUUUUCUUUCUUUUUUUGUAAUGCCCCAGUUUGACUGUUUUGCUGAUUCUCAAGAUACAACUGAAUGAUCUUCCUUUUGUGCUCAAGAAGACGGGUAAUCUCGUCAGGAAUCCCCUUCAACAUCGUCUUCCUCUGCUUUGAAUACAGGGAACCCAAAAUUGGGAGAUGGCG
RNAcentral lists this long non-coding RNA (328 nucleotides) under Lathyrus oleraceus (garden pea). RNAcentral's name for it is "Pisum sativum (pea) long non-coding RNA (PSAT_LNC006650)". Lineage: Eukaryota; Viridiplantae; Streptophyta; Magnoliopsida; Fabales; Fabaceae. The record is from RNAcentral.